This 576-nucleotide long non-coding RNA is filed under the name Mytilus galloprovincialis (Mediterranean mussel). The record is from RNAcentral. Lineage: Eukaryota; Metazoa; Mollusca; Bivalvia; Mytilida; Mytilidae.
AUGCUAUUGAAACGUCAUCUGUCCUUGAAAUUUUCAAAAUGGCCGCCGUUGUCAUGGAAACAGCAAAAAAAAAAAAAAAAAAAAAAUCGCAACUUUCAGGCAAAAUUCUGUAAUCAUGACUAUGUGCAUACGAUCAAAUACAAAUCUGUACUGCAAAACAUUUUCUAGAAUAUGCUAGAAGAAAACUAAUAUAGAAUUUAACGUGCUUCUAUUCUAUACAUAAAUCGUGCUUUGAAGAGAAGAAUCGCCACUGAGAGAGAGAGAAACACGAAGAGUACACAUAAGUGACAUUUCUGCACUUGCACUAAAGUACACAUCCGUUAAUCGAACACCUGCUACAAUAUACACAUGAGCUAAAAAUCAAUCGAUAAGCGUGUAAUUAAAUUGUACAAGAUAAGAUACAUGUAUCGUGUGAUACGCGAGUAAUUGAAGAAUAAAAUGAACAGUUAGUAUGCCGCUCCGUCAAUAUAUACACAUGUUGUCUGUCCAAGGUCCCCUCUAAAAAGAAUAGUAAUGUUACUAAGUCCACGAUAAUAUACUUCAGUAUCACGUGACACCACCUUUCUUCCUCGCGCG